Nomascus leucogenys (northern white-cheeked gibbon) is the source of this 1144-nucleotide RNA transcript. It is a transcript of the gene named TAFA chemokine like family member 5, with no coding region annotated. Lineage: Eukaryota; Metazoa; Chordata; Mammalia; Primates; Hylobatidae. The record is from RefSeq and is a predicted model, not a curated record. The transcript is spliced from 2 exons.
CAAGAAUCAUCAAGACCAAGCAGUGGUGUGACAUGCUUCCAUGUCUGGAGGGGGAAGGCUGUGACUUGUUAAUCAACCGGUCAGGCUGGACGUGCACGCAGCCCGGCGGGAGGAUAAAGACCACCACGGUCUCCUGACAAACACAGCCCCUGAGGGGCCCCGGGAGUGGCCUUGGCUUCCUGGAGAGCCCACACCUCAGCCACAGUUCUCCACUCGCCUCGGACUUUGCCCAUUCUCUGCCGCCCGCCCACUCCGUUUCCCUGUGGUCCGUGAAGGACGGCCUCAGGCCUCGGCAUCCUGAGCUUCGGUCUGUCCAGCCGAGCCGAGGAGGCCGGACUCGGACACACAGGCGGGGGGCAGCACCUGGCAUCAGCAAUACGCAGUCUGUGGGAGCCCGGCCACGCCCAGCCCUGCCGACCGUGGCGUUGGCCCUGCUGUCCUCAGAGGAUGAGGAGGAGGAGGCGGCUCCGGCAGCCACAGAAGGCUGCGGCUCAGCCCACCUGAGACACGACGCCUGCCCCAGGGGACUGUCAGGCGCAGAAGCGGCCUCCUCCCGUGCCCCAGACUGUCCGAAUUGCUUUUAUUUUCUUAUACUUUCAGUAUAUUCCAUAGACCAAAGAGCAAAAUCUAUCUGAACGUGGACGCACCCUCACUGUCAGGGUCCCUGGGGUCGCUUGUGGGGGCGGGAGGGCAAUGGUGGCAGAGACAUGCUGGCGGCCCCGCGGAGCGGAGAGGGUGGCCGUGGUGGAGGCCUCCACCCCAGGAGCACCCCGCGCACCCUCGGAGGAUGGGCUUUGGCUGCGCGGAGGCCGUGGCACACCUGCGGGAGGCAGCCGGGGCGCGGCCGGCGAUGGCCCCCACGCAGACGCCGGGAACACAGGCCGCUUUAUUCCUCUGUACUUAGAUCGACUUGACCGUACUAAAAUCACUUUCUGUUUUAACCAGUUAAACAUGCCUCUUCUACAGCUCCAUUUUUGAUAGUUGGAUAAUCCAGUAUCUGCCAAGAGCAUGUUGGGUCUCCCGUGACUGCUGCCUCAUCAAUACUCCAUUUAGCUCCAGAAAGCAAAGCAAACUCGAGUAACACUUGUUUGAAAGAGAUCAUUAAAUGUAUUUUGCAAAGCCUAAAGUUAUAUAUUUAACAGUU